Molecule: ribosomal RNA, 351 nt
Filed under: Triticum aestivum (bread wheat)
Lineage: Eukaryota; Viridiplantae; Streptophyta; Magnoliopsida; Poales; Poaceae
Description: partial small subunit ribosomal RNA
Source: RNAcentral
AUGGAGCCCAAGUUGGUCUCCAUUGGCAAGGUGGCUGCUGAGUUCAACCUUGCUACUUCUGGUUCUGAUGAUGUGUUGGCUGUUAAAAAGGGUGCCACAUUGACGACAUGGGACGAUGCCAUUGUUCAUGCCCCCUCUAAGCUGAUCAAAGGUCUGCUUGUCAUGCCUUCGAUCACCCAAGGUUUGAGCCGCCUUGUCAAUGAGAGUAAAGUCAAGAAUGUCAACCAGGGGAUUAAUGUCGCCUUGGGCAAUGUGACAACCUUGCAAGAUGUUAGUCUCAAGGAUGUGUUUCUUGCUCUGGUGUUUUUUCUUUAUUUUGGGAGUAGUCGGCUUGAGAUUUGUGUUGUGUGA